UUCCUCAUACUUCUAUCUCUAGAAUAAGCCUCACAUUCAAGUUUGACAGCAGUACAAUCAGUUUUCCAUUCAUCACUGGCCCUGUUUUAACCCUGCUGAAAAAGGGCCUAAUGUACGUGGCAGUGAUGGCAAUUAGGCAGAAAAGUAAUAUUAGAAACAGACAAAAGCCUGAGUCUUUUAGCAUUACAGGUGUUUUUUUUUUUUUUUUUUUUUUUUUCAGCCUGUUCUAGACAUAAAGGAAUAGGCAGUGUUGUUAAGUUCCCUUCUUCAGUCUUCUCUUAAGCUGAAAGUCCAACGAUUUCAAGAUUCAAUUAAUUAGAGACAUGGAGAGCCAAAGUACAAGAUACCUGUACGGAGAACUUGGGAGGCAUUUUCAUAAGCUCUUUGUCAAGUGAAUGUUAAAGUCCCCAUUCACUGAGAAGCAAAGGGUGAAGAACUGAGACCCUACAUGGCUUUUUAGUGCAUUGAUGGAGCAGAGACACUUCUAUGAACAACUGCCUAUGCAAACUGAUUACUCGGCAGUAUAAUUUAUCAGUUCUUACGAGUAAGUGAGUGCUUCUCACUAUGGAUUUAACUUGCACUUCAAUUUAGUAAUCAAAGAGCUGAGUUUUCCUGAAGAGGCACAAACUCAAAAAAUCCCAGUUGUAUCCUGUCACCUUAUGCAUGGAUAUUCACAUUGUGGCAGCACUGUGCCAGACACCAGCACACCCAUUCCGGAAACAGUCUGAUUUCUGUCACUGUGGAGCCAACCACCAUGAGAGAAUUAUCUGUCUGCACACAGCUGGACUCAGGAAUGGCCAUGAAACCUCCAGGCAGAAGUUUGAAAGUCAGUAUAUGAGUGACUGUGUUUUUUUUACCCGCUUUGCUACGAGACCAUGUCUGGAUAGAGGCUGCCCCAUCAGUCUCGUCGUGUAAUGCACAUUUGGAAUAUAGCCACAGCUACAAUGGACAAAGGAUGAGUAAAAAAUCACAUUCUGCUGUUGUAAGGUACUGAAAUUCUGGAUUCAUUUGUUACGACACAUCAAUGGUCUUUUCCUGACUAAUACACUUAGAGAACAGCAAUGUAUUCACAGGAAUAAGGAAGUCUUGAGAGGCAACAUAGAGAAGUGGAUGAAGCCAGUCUCCUUAGGCUAAAACCUUCUUCUUGCCUCUUUGUAACCAAGUAAACUUGAGGACAUUGCAUUACUUUUAUAGGUUCUUAUCCUCCAAAGAAAAUGGAGAUAAUAGUACCUAGCCUCAAAUAGUUGUUAUGAAGAUUGAAUGAUACAUUACAUGUAGUAUUUAAUGUCUGAUAAUACAUAGAAAAUCUUCAAUCUAUAUCAGCUAUUAUUUUUAAAACUAGUAUUAGCAUUAGCAUUUUUAAGCAGAGAUUACAGCAGUAAAGAAUUUGGGUUUUAACUCAGAAACACCUGGCUUCAACUCUCAAUUCUGACACUCUCAGUGUAAAUUUGUAUUCAUAACUUGAGUUUUCUGAGCCUUUGUUUAUUUACUUACAAAGUGAGGAUAAGAAUGCCUAUUUAUUGUAUCACUGAGGCGAUGAAAUAAGUUUGUAGUAUAGAGAGCACAAUGCAUGGCACAUUGGAAACACCCAAUAAAUGAUGCUGUUAUUAUGAUUAAAAAUCAAUAGUGACUACUUUUAAAA
This is a non-coding RNA of Macaca mulatta (Rhesus monkey), 1642 nucleotides long. Lineage: Eukaryota; Metazoa; Chordata; Mammalia; Primates; Cercopithecidae. The record is from RefSeq and is a predicted model, not a curated record.